RNAcentral lists this ribosomal RNA (253 nucleotides) under uncultured bacterium. Its description in RNAcentral is "partial 16S ribosomal RNA". It matches the Rfam family "Bacterial small subunit ribosomal RNA", at positions 524 to 776 of the family's 1533-position model. The record is from RNAcentral.
UACGGAGGGUGCGAGCGUUGUCCGGAAUCACUGGGCGUAAAGGGCGCGUAGGCGGCCUGAUAAGUAGGGGGUGAAAUCCUGCGGCUUAACCGCAGGGCUGCCUUCUAAACUGUCGGGCUCGAGCACAGUAGAGGCAGGUGGAAUUCCCGGUGUAGCGGUGGAAUGCGUAGAGAUCGGGAAGAACAUCAGUGGCGAAGGCGGCCUGCUGGGCUGUUGCUGACGCUGAGGCGCGAAAGCGUGGGGAGCAAACAGG